AUGUUGGAUACAAAAUUCGGUUUCCCUCCCUCCUCCCCCGCAGCCGCGCCCCCAUCCCGAGCCCCGGCCACAGGCGCAGCGCCGAAUCUCAAGCGGAGGAGAGAGGGCGAGGACGCCGACGCCGACGCCGACAUGAGGGAGGAGGCGGUGGAGCGGCUGCGCGGGGUGGUGCGGGACAGCGUCGGGAAGCACCUCUACACGUCCGCCAUCUUCCUCGCGGACAAGGUGGCCGCGGCCACGGGCGACCCCGCCGACGUCUACAUGCUCGCGCAGGCGCUCUUCCUCGGCCGCCACUUCCGCCGCGCGCUCCACGUGCUCAACAACUCCCGCCUCCUCCGCGACCUGCGCUUCCGGUUCCUCGCCGCCAAGUGCCUCGAGGAAUUGAAAGAAUGGCACCAGUGUCUGAUGAUGCUUGGUGAUGCCAAAGUUGACGAACAUGGCAAUGUUCUUGAUCAGGAUGAUGGCAGUGACAUCUAUUUUGAUAAGGACGCAGAAGAUCACGAGAUCAAUAUCAAAUCAGCUAUAUGUUUCUUACGUGGCAAGGCGUAUGAAGCACUGGAUAAUCGUGAUCUUGCUCGGCAAUGGUACAAGGCAGCAGUUAAAGUUGAUCCGUUAUGUUAUGAGGCUCUUGAAUGCCUUGUUGAUAACUACAUGUUAACGUGCGAGGAAGAAACUGAGUUAUUGGCCUCUCUGAAAUUCGGGAAAGAAGACGGGUGGCUGUCAGCAUUCUACUCAUGUUUGAUUAGGAAGCAUGAAAAAGAAUAUGUAGUGGAAGCAAAAUUCAAGGAACUUGAACGCGAAUCUUGCAGUAUUUCUCCAAGUUCUGGUCAAAUGAUGAAAAAUAACAUCGAUGUUUUGGCUUGCAAAGCUGAAUACUACCAUCAGAGUGGAGAAUACCAAAAAUGUUUUGAGCUCACAUCUGUUUUACUUGAAAGGGAUCCGUUUCAUUUAAAAUGCACAUUAGUGCAUUUGGCUGCUGCUAUGGAGCUUGGGCAUUCCAAUGAUCUUUAUCUCUUGUCAUGCAAUUUAGUGAAGGACUAUCCUCAAAAAGCUAUUUCCUGGUUUGCUGUGGGGUGCUAUUACUACUGCAUUAAGAAGUAUGAUCAAGCUAGGAGAUACUUUGGCAAAGCUACAGGGUUAGAUGGCACAUUCCCUCCUGCUUGGUUUGGUACUGGUAUUGCUUAUGCUGCUCAAGAGGAGGGUGACCAGGCAAUGGCUGCAUUUAGGACAGCAGCUAGACUAUUUCCUGGAUGUCAUCUCCCAACUUUAUACAUGGGUAUGCAAUACGUGCGAAUGCAUAAUUUCAAACUUGCGGAGCAGUUCUUCAUGCAAGCAAAGUCCAUUUGUCCAUCUGAUCCACUUAUAUAUAAUGAGCUGGGUGUUGUAGCUUAUAAUAUGAAAGAGUAUCAAAAUGCAGUUCAGUGGUUUGAGUUAACACUUACUCAUACUUCAUCGUCCCCGAAUGAAAUGUGGGAACCAACAAUGGUGAAUCUUGGACACGCACUGCGGAAACUGAAGCAAUAUAAGAAAGCAAUAUCAUAUUAUGAAAAGGCGCUCACUUUUCCAACAAAAACUCUGAGUGCAUUUUCUGGUCUUGCUUAUACGUACCAACUUAUGGAUGAUUUUGAAGCUGCCAUAACUUACUACCACAAGGCUCUAUGGUUGAAACCAGACGACCAGUUUUGCACUGACAUGCUAACAUUAGCUCUUGAGACCAGCUGCCAAAGCACCGCUCGGAGAAAAUAG
This 1746-nucleotide ribosomal RNA is filed under the name Triticum aestivum (bread wheat). RNAcentral describes it as "partial small subunit ribosomal RNA". The record is from RNAcentral. Lineage: Eukaryota; Viridiplantae; Streptophyta; Magnoliopsida; Poales; Poaceae.